Molecule: ribosomal RNA, 261 nt
Filed under: uncultured prokaryote
Description: partial 16S ribosomal RNA
Rfam family: Bacterial small subunit ribosomal RNA
Source: RNAcentral
UACGUAGGUGGCGAGCGUUGUCCGGAUUUACUGGGCGUAAAGGGAGCGUAGGCGGACUUUUAUGUGAGAUGUGAAAUACCCGGGCUCAACUUGGGUGCUGCAUUUCAAACUGGAAGUCUAGAGUGCAGGAGAGGAGAAUGGAAUUCCUAGUGUAGCGGUGAAAUGCGUAGAGAUUAGGAAGAACACCAGUGGCGAAGGCGAUUCUCUGGACUGUAACUGACGCUGAGGCUCGAAAGCGUGGGGAGCAAACAGGAUUAGAUA